AGAGUUUGAUCAUGGCUCAGAGUGAACGCUGGCGGCGUGCCUAACACAUGCAAGUCGAACGCGAAAGUUCUCUUCGGAGAACGAGUAGAGUGGCAGACGGGUGAGUAAUGCAUAGGUAAUCUACCUUCGAGUGGGGGAUAACUUAUCGAAAGGUGAGCUAAUCCCGCAUGAUGUGGUGACACAUAAGUGUUGCUAAUAAAGGGGGGGAUCCUUCGGGACCUCUCGCUUGAAGAUGAGCCUAUGUCCUAUUAGCUUGUUGGUGGGGUAAUGGCCUACCAAGGUUAUGAUGGGUAGCCGAGCUGAGAGGCUGACCGGCCACACUGGAACUGAAACACGGUCCAGACUCCUAUGGGAGGCAGCAGUGGGGAAUUUUGCGCAAUGGGCGAAAGCCUGACGCAGCGACGCCGCGUGAGGGAUGAAGGUCCUCGUGAUCGUAAACCUCUGUCAGGAAGGAUUAAAUGUGCAGGUGUUAAUACCAUUUGUACUUGACUUAACUUCCAAAGGAAGCUCCGGCUAACUACGUGCCAGCAGCCGCGGUAAUACGUAGGGGGCUAGCGUUACUCGGAUUUAUUGGGCGUAAAGCGAAUGUAGGCGGUUGAAUAAGUCAGUGGUGAAAUCCCUCAGCUUAACUGAGGAAAUUGCAUUGAUACUGUUCGACUUGAGGACAGGAGAGGAAAGUGGAAUUCCCGGUGUAGCGGUGGAAUGCGUAGAUAUCGGGAAGAACACCAGGGGCGAAGGCGGCUUUCUGGACUGUUCCUGACACUGAGACUC
This 771-nucleotide ribosomal RNA is filed under the name uncultured bacterium. RNAcentral describes it as "bacterial SSU rRNA". It matches the Rfam family "Bacterial small subunit ribosomal RNA", at positions 8 to 754 of the family's 1533-position model. The record is from RNAcentral.